This 73-nucleotide transfer RNA is filed under the name Vicugna pacos (alpaca). Its description in RNAcentral is "tRNA-Ala (AGC) (tRNA-Ala-AGC-517-1)". It matches the Rfam family "tRNA". Rfam says of the family: Transfer RNA (tRNA) molecules are approximately 80 nucleotides in length. The record is from RNAcentral. Lineage: Eukaryota; Metazoa; Chordata; Mammalia; Artiodactyla; Camelidae.
GGAGGGUAUAGCUCAGUGGUAGAGUGCAUGCCUAGCAUGCAUGAGGUCCUAGGUUCAAUCCCCAGUACCUCCA